This 875-nucleotide ribosomal RNA is filed under the name Cystodiscus australis. Its description in RNAcentral is "bacterial SSU rRNA". It matches the Rfam family "Eukaryotic small subunit ribosomal RNA", at positions 330 to 1090 of the family's 1831-position model. Lineage: Eukaryota; Metazoa; Cnidaria; Myxozoa; Bivalvulida; Myxidiidae. The record is from RNAcentral.
GUAAGGUAGUGGCCUACCAAGGUGAUUACGGGUAACGGGGAAUCAGGGUUCGAUUCCGGAGAGGGAGCCUGAGAAACGGCUACCACAUCCAAGGAAGGCAGCAGGCGCGCAAAUUACCCAAUCCAGACACUGGGAGGUGGUGACGAGAAAUACCGGGUCGUGCCCAAAAGGUUUCGACACUGGAAUGGGUGGAAUUUAAGAAUUUCCACGAGUAGCAACUGGAGGGCAAGUCUGGUGCCAGCAGCCGCGGUAAUUCCAGCUCCAGUAGUGUAUCUUAAAGUUGCUGCGGUUAAAACGCUCGUAGUUGGACAAGAGAGCGAUCAGGUGCGGGCGGGGAGUAUGCCUACCCUGUACYGAUUCUGUGAUGUGUUGGCUCCGGCCGGCCAUUGCUAGUAAUUGGACAGGAGUACUACUUGUCGACCAUGCUGCCUGGUCGCUUGUUUGAUCGUGAGAAUGUCAUAUGGCCUUAACUGUGCUGUGUGACGUGUCUUACGUAGUGUGCCUUGAAUAAAUCAGAGUGCUCAAAGCAAGCUAACGCUUGAAUGUUAAUAGCAUGGAACGAAUGUUUUGUGAAAGCGUAGGUAGUGGGUUUACUUGUAUUCCUGCURCUUACGCAGCACCAACUCCGAUUCGGAACAUUGGUAGCCGAUAUCGGGUGAUGAUUAAGAGGGACAUUUGGGGGCAUUAGUAUUUGGACGCGAGAGGUGAAAUUCUUGGACCGUCCAAGGACUAACAAGUGCGAAAGCAUUUGCCAAGUAUGUUCCCUUUAAUCAAGAACGAAAGUGAGAGGUUCGAAGACGAUCAGAUACCGUCCUAGUUCUCACCGUAAACGAUGCCAACCCGGGAUCAGCUCGGAUAGUAAUUUUUGGAUCCAG